CCAUCACCUGCUUCUUCCCAUGUGUACACCAGCAGGAAGCGUUACUGGGACUUGAAUCUAGGUACUCUACAUGGAAGGUAGGUAUCCUAAGAGGUAAAUUUUUAACUGGUAGGCCAAACAUGCAUCCUGAGCAUUUUGUAUUUCAAAAUUUUGGGUUAAGGGUGUUUAACUUAUAUCAACAAAUAAAAAUUUUAGGACUAAAAAGUAUAAUAGCUAUAAUAAAACACUGCAUGGAUUGAACUGCAGAAUUACAAUGACAGAAGAAAGUGGGAGUGGAAUUAAAAGAUAAAUAACUAUUAUUCAGUGUUAACAGCAGAGAAUAAGAAGAACCAUAAUUAAGUUAAAGAAUCUGUUCUCUCCCCCUGCCACCCAGUGUUAAGAGUCAGAGGAAAAUGACACAUUAUUUAUAGGGAAACAUUAUGAGUGACUGACUAUAGAUUCCUCAUCAUUAACUAUGGAGUCCAGAAGCAAGUGGAACAGCAUUUCUUACUGAUGGACGGAAAGAAGAGAAUAGCAAACAGAAUUCUAACUGCCAGGGAGGUGAAGGUGAAAUAAGAACAUCCUCAGAUUACGUAAGACUGGGAGAAUUUAUUGCUUGUACACCCAGUGUGCUAUUGGCAAGAGGAUAGCACAGUAAUCAGUGGAGCACAACAGAAUCCAAAAGUAGACCCAUACAAAUAUCUCCAGUUGAUAUUGACAAAGGGGCACAAAACAUGCAUUGGGGAAGAUAAGUACUGGAAAAACUAGACAUCCAUGUGCAAAAAUUAGUAAAGAAGCUCAACGCAAACCUCACAGUUGUGCACAGUUAGUUCAAAGUAGAUAAAUGUAAAGCUGUACGAGUCGGUGAAGCUACAGGAACUUGGAUACAGUCUCUUCUGUUUCCUAGAGCAUAAACCGAAGGCCUGGCCUGUGGUAGGUACUCAGUCAGUAUAACUGAAUGUGUGAACUGCUGCUACUGGAGAAGAUGGAUAAAAUGAACUUCAGAGUACUUACACAAAGAAAGAAGACUGGAAAACUAAUACUAUGGCAAUAUUAUUUUUUAGCUUCAUUUUUCUUAAGUUAAUUUUGUAUGUUUUAUAUGUCCAAAUUAUAUAAGUAAUGAAAUAUAAUUAAUGGGUGAUUUUGAUUAUAAGAAGUUUUGAUGUCUUCCUUAUAACCUCUAAUGUGUUAUCAGUCUUAAUAGUUGUAACAUUUUUGAUUUAUGUUUUCUUGUUCAUUUUGUGAGCAGCGUGUUACUUUCCAGUUUUCCAACUGUGAUCACCAUAGCCUUAUUUGCAUUUUAAUAUUCUAUAAUGUUUGUUUUAUCUGUCAAGUUAAACCAAUGGUCUCAAGAAUCACUGGAAGCAGCACAGACAGCAGAUGUUCAGAGAUCUACCCUUGUCUCAGAGACAUCAACUAAGAUGUGUAGGAAGUUAAUAAAGGAGGACAUAUACUGUACAUCUUUCAUUGUGGCGCUCUACCAUCAGUGGAUAGACCAUUUCACAUAUAAUUAUAUUAUAGAGGAAAUGCAGUCUUCACCGCUGGCGUGGCUGGAAGAGGAAGCACUAUCGUUUCUGAGGGGUAAAUGCAUCACCCUUCAGUUGCAUGGUUUUUGUCAAGUGACUGAUUGCUUAAACCAGCGAAGUUCCCUAGUGUGCACUUGGAGUGGCCGUUAUUUUCCCUUUCAUUGAAAUCUCAUCAGAUGACUUCCAAGAUUUAUUGCCCACAGGUCAAAUCAUACUUCAAAGUGAUGAUCUCAGAUUGGCAUGAGUGGUCUAAAAGACCACUUUUACUCUGAAAUAGAUUUGCCAGUUUUUAGUUACUUGUCUUUAAAAAAUAGGUACCAUGUGUCAAAAUUGUGGAAGAAAUGAAAAAAAAAUCCUUAAUGUUCAAGUUUCUUUUAAAAUAAACUACUUGAAAAGCAGUGAAAAAGAUCUUCUAUUUGCUGGUUCAUUCCCCAGAUGUCCACAGUGUAUAACACUAUUAAAUUUUCUUGAUUUAUAUUUUUAUUCCUAUGUAAUUUAUAAUUCUUAGAAUACUGUUUUUAAGUUUCCCAGUUACUUUUCAUAUUUCUUAUUUCCUAUUGAUAAUUUCUAGUGCUACCAUAACAUGUACAGGUAAUGCUUUCUGUAGCAGUACUUUUAGGAAGUAGUUGCAGUUUCAUUUUUUAUAAAAUAGUUACAAUUAGGGCAAGUGCUUUGUGCAGUAGUUAAGAGGAUGCUUGAAUGCCUGCAUCCCGUAUUAGAGCGCCUGGGUUUUGUCUCAGCUCUAGUUCCAAGUCCAGCGUCCUGCUAAUGUGCACUCUGGGAGGCAGCAGGUGAUGGCUCAAGGGGUUGGAUUCCUGCCACCUGCAUGGGAGAACUGGAUUGAGUUACCCGCUCCCAACUCUGGUCUGCCCCAGUCCCAGCUAUUGCAAGCAUCUGGGGAGUGAGCCAGUAGAAGGGAGAUCUGCCUCUCUGCCUUUCUAAUAAUAAUUAUUUAAAAAAAAGUCACAUUGACCAAUUUUUGUAAAUAUAUUCCAGGAAUCUCUGUUUAUAAGGUCUAAUCCCACUUAUGUUUUGUAUCUUAUUGUUUUAUUUUUUUAUUUUUUUUCUUGGACCUGUCAAAUUUGAAAGAGCUAUGUUAAAAUAUUCGUUGCUGUUGUCCUGUCCCUUUCUUGGUUUUUUUUUUUUUUUUUUUUUUUUUUGGUUACAUGUAUUUUGAUUUUGUGUUUUUGGUUUACAGUUCAUGGCCUUCAUCAGAACCCUUAUUUUCCCAUUAGUAAUUGCUUUUACUUAAUGAUCUCAAUACUGAGAUCCCUAGUGCCCUCUGUCCUCUACCUUGAGUUGCAAAGUAUGUCUAAAGAGACGUUGUGCGAGAGUCUGUAGAUGUAUUCUACAGUGCACUUCUGCUAGGAGGUAGUUUUUAAUCCUAUUGUCACUUUGUUUACUUCAGGAAGAAAACCACAGAGUAAAUUUAUUUGUGGGCCAGCAUCUCCCAUACCCUGACCCUGUGCCUUCUAAAAGCUGUUAUUCUUGUUUUUGUUUUUGUUUUUUUUUGUUUUUUUUUUUGUUUGUUUGUUUGUUUUUUUGACAGGCAGAGUUAGACAGUGAGAGAGACAGAGAGAAAGGUCUUCCUUUUUCCGUUGGUUCACCCCCCAAAUGGCCGCUGUGGCCAGUGCGCUGUGCUGAUUCAAAGCAAGCCAGGAGCCAAGUGCUUCCUCCUGGUCUCCCACAUGGGUGCAGGGCCCAAACACCUGGGCCAUCCACCACUGCACUCCCGGGCCACAGCAGAGAGCUGGACUGGAAGAGGAGCAACUGGGACAGAAUCCAGUGCCCCAACUGGGACUAGAACCAGGGGUGCUGGCGCCACAGGCGGGGAAUUAGCCUAGUGAGCCGCGGAGCCGGCCUAUUCUUGUGUUUUGACAGUGUAUAUUGUGCCUGAUUUUAUUAUCAUGACACUAUGUGCAAGAUCAGUAUUUCUUUAUUUUUUCAUGUAGCAUAAAACUACUUUUUGUUUUGUUUUGUUUCAUUUUUAAGCUUUGUGUUUCAUUACUUGAUUCUUUAGAUGUGGCACUGGCAAAGUCAUUCAGUAAUUUUUGUUUGAGUUUCUCUGAAAUAAUCCUGACCUACUGUUGAAGUGUUUUGUUUUUGUUUUGUAUUGCUUAGAAAAGAGUCCAGAACAAUUUUAUUAAAAUCAUAUUGCUCUGUAGAUAAGCACAGGCCAUAUUUUUGAGAGUUUCCAACUUAGAAUAAUUUAUAUAUACAACAUCCAUUUUCAUUCAGUACUAAACAUUUGAAACUACACUGGGCAACUAUAGGAUAUUGGAAUUUUUUUUUUUCAGUUAAUUCAACUAAUCCUCCUUUUUUGUUCAAAUUUUGAAAAUAUAGUGUUAUUAGAGCCAACGUAAUUUACAUGAUACGUAAAGGAAAUUCAUAUUAAAUAUGAAUUUAAUACUGGCUUUGGUUAUUAUUUCUGUCCUUGUGUGGAAGAACUGUUUAAACCUUUUAAUGCAUUAAACUGGGCUUUAGGAAGUUAUUUUGGUGCCAGUCUCAAAGGACAGAUCGCUGUUCUUUCCUACCCAUGAAACUAGGUCGCUGAUGCUUGGCACAUCCCUGUGACACGGGAUUCGUGUGACGUUCAGGUGUGCAGAAAUGGUGAUAUGCCAGCAGGGCCACUUUUCAUUUCAUGAGCAUAAUUUCCAGUGCCCUGGAAUUGAUGUAUUCCUUGACCUGUUAAUGAUGACACUGGGUCACUAGCACUUCAAAGGCAGAGGAAGCCUCUGGAAAUGACCAUAGUCAUCUCGUUAGGUGAUGAGUUACAGGGUUUCUGUUCAGCCUGGGGGUUUGGCCUGUUGAGGUGGUUGACAUUUUAGCAAACGUGGGUCUGACGCACAGUGGGAUUCCCUGCGUGAAGUGGUUGAGAAUACUCCUCUGUCAUCUCUAAUGGACAGUCGUCAGUUCUCUGAAUCUGUGGCUUCCAUCUCCACAGAACCAACCAUCCUCAGCGUGAAAAUAUCCUAUAAAAAUGCGUCUGCACUGGACAGGUACAGACUGUUUCCUUGCCAUUAUUCCAUAAGCAGUACAGGACAGCAGCUAUUUACAGUGUGUGAGGUGUUGUCUAGAGAUGAUUUACAGGUACAGGAAGGUAUGUGUGGGAGGUUCUGUGUAAACACCACCCCACUGUGUUGGGGGAACUUGAGCACCUACAUGUCUGAGCAUCCCCGGGGUCCUGGAAUCAGCCUCUCCCCGUUACUUGGGGGACACAGAGACAACUGUAGUUUGGGAUUGUGUUUUCCUUUGAGCAACUUUAAACAUGCUUAGGGAAGUUUUCUGUUCUCAUUCACCAGCAAGAAACAAGUGCUUGGUAGAUAGGAACUAACCACAAGGUUCCUCUAGAAUUAAAUGAACAUUGGUCCUAUAAUAUUGCAUGUCUCAAAUGAACUAUUUUCAAAUCAGUCAUGUAUUGGUUUGGUGUUUCAAAAAGAUGAUGAGAAAAUACAAACUACCCCAAAAUCUCUAACCUGUCCCAUCUCUCUGGUGAUUUGGGGCCUUAGCGGGGCUCCUGGUUCGAAUUCUCCCUCUCUGGCCUCGGGAAAGUGCGUUGCAGGUCUGUGCUUCUGUGUUCGAGUAGUUGUGCAUAUUUUAUAAUGGCAUUGUAAGGACAAUGGGAAUGAGUGCUGUGCAGAGCUUUGGAAGGGUUCUGGCAGAUACCCACCGCCCAUCUGCGUAGUGUAGGAGCCAUGGUUAGUGUUGCUCAGUGUGCUUUAUAAAGGUCAGCGUUCUUUUUUGCCAUGUUUGUUCCUUUCUUGCCCAGAAAAUUGUUAUUCUCUUCCCUGCAGUGAGGGGUACUUAGUUCUAUUCGGUUUCCCCAACAGGGCAAGUUCUAGGAAGAGUAUCAUUCUGAACUACUCUAGAAGGAAAUUCUCAUAGGGUUGACCAUAUCCUGUGUAAUUUAGCCUGGCAUAAUUGAACAGGAACUUCUAAACUGUAGAUUAGAAGGUAAAACUGCUAAAGGCAGGGUAUGGAUUUGGGGCCUUUUCUGUGCUCUAGUUUAUGAAUUUCUCUGUUUAGGAGACUUUUUUCCCCUUGUGUUAUGUACCGCUCACUUUCAUCUUAUUAUUGUUAACAGAAAGACAAUUUAUUUAAUGUGAAUUAAGUCUUGUGUUCUUCAGACAUAUAUAUUGAGCUGCCAAUCUAAGUUUACCUCAUUCUUUGAUAAUUUCCUUACACUUGAAUUUGCUGUUGUGAAAUUUUCACUAAUUAUUUAUUCAUAAGCCCCCAAACCACUAUUGGGAAUGUGGUGGAUAGUAAAGUCUUGCUAAAUCUGAACAGAUUUGGAUUUUAUUUGAGUGUACUCAAAGCGCGUCACUAGAUAGUGAAAUAAGACCCUGAUGGACAUCAUGUCCUCUUGCAGUUUGCAAUUACAUCUGUCUGCUGUGUGGUGGUGUGGUGUUCUGGCACCCCGCGUACCCUGAGGGAAGGCACUGCUCCAUUUUGUUGACUCCUGUAUCAGCAGUGCUUGCUAACUGAUAGGAGCUUACAAAUGUUUGUAGAAUGAACCGGAUGAUUUUUUCCCCCAAGUUUUGUAUUUUUGAGAAUUUUAGAAGGCAUACCCAGAAAUUGUGUUUUAUGUUCUUGGAGUUUAUUUCUACAGAAAAUACAUAUGUUGUUCACAUUUGGGUUGUGCUUCUGUGUUUUUGUUACAGUUUGUUUUUAAAUAGGCAUCAUUUCAGUGCCCUUUGGGGACAGAUGAUUCCGAUUGUGGGGAAUUUGUAGAAGCUAUUUCUCCACUGUGAAUAAAACAGGCCUUGAGAGAGACAAAGGAAAGGUUAAGAUUCAAGAGUUAUUUUGUGACUGCACAAAAUUAAAGCUGCGGGAAGUGUCAGAGAGCCUCAUACCUAUUUUAAAUACAAAUGACUGAAUCUUCAUGAGUCAGUGACUGCUGUGGAAAUGGAGCCACCCCGCUCUCAAUGCCUGGUGUUUGGGUUUUGGUGUAAUUAUGUUUUACUGAUUUACCUCAUAAAUGUACACAUAUGGGUGUUAUAUUUGAUGCCUUAAAUAUUUCAGUUAUAGAGACAGAGAGUUUUAAAAAUACUUCAGUUUGUACCUCUGUUCUGUGCAACCUUAACUAAAAUAUAAAUUUCUAAUGUCUGCUGAUGUUACAGAAAUCUAAAUUGCUGUUCAAAUCUGUGAAAUGUAGCAUAUUGGUUUUCAGCUGUUCUCACAGACAGCGCUAGUUACCAGCCACUUAGCUGCACUUCCGCACUAGCCAGUUGGAGAAGAAUCCUUUUGUCCUGCUCUGUAAGAUCUCAGGGAAGAGCCUUCUCUUUGGUGUUUGUUAAGUGAAGGGCUUGGUGAGUGGUCUUUUCAUCCUGGCCUUGGCAACACCUGUACCCUUCUUUCUCAGCUUCUGGGUUGCAGCUGUGUGGGGUGGGGGCGAGGGGCUUUGUCCCCUUCCAAGGCACCAGUUCUCUGGCUUUGGCAGCAGGUCCUUACCAGAGGCGGGCAUCUGGGGCAUAGCUUGGGGCUGCAGUCCUGGCUCAUGGUAUCUCUAGCUUCCUGCCUGUUUUUGUUUGUUUUAAAUACAAUUGUUCAAUGUUCCUGUUAAUUUAGUAAGCACCUUUUCUGUGUGAAACAGCCAAAAGAUGGUUUCUAUUGCUAGCUGCUGGAAAGUUUGGUAAUAACUAUCCGUUUUCUACCCGCCUACAUUCAAAUCAAUGAGUGUAUUGAUGCUAAAGCCAAGUGUUACAUGGGCUUAGAGUUUUGCUCUCUGGCGCAGCAGGUUAAACUGCCUUCUGCAGUGCUGACAUCCCAUAUGGGUGCCAGUUCUUGUUCCGGGUGCUCCUUUUCUGAUCUGGCUCUCUGCUGUGGCCUAAGAAAACCGUGGAAGAUGGCCUAAGUGCUUGGGCCUCUACACCCAUGUGGGAAACGUGGAAGCUCCUGGCUUCAUCCUAGCCCAGGCCUGGCUGUGCAGCCAUUUGGGGAGUGAACCAGUGGAUAGAAGAUCUCUCUCUCUUUCUCUCCCUCUCUCUGUAAUUCUAUCAAAUAAAUAAAUAAAUCUUAAAAAAAAAAAAAGAGAGAAUCUUGCUGCUGCUUUUCCUACAGAGGAUGUUGUAUACCUACUAUGACUUACCUGAUUUCCAGUGAAGCAUUUUUGUUGGAUUAUAGGUCUGGGAGCUGUGUUCAUCUCUGUCAAGUAUUUUGUCAAGCGCUUCUAUGUACCAAACACUUGUGUCUGGAAAUACAGCAGUGAACAGAGGAGACAAAGACACCUGCCUUCGUGCAGCUUGCUUGCAAGGAGGUGUGCAGAUAAGUAACAGGUUAGAUGCUGUUAAUGUGACAAUGAGAGAGACUGAGCACGUUAGGGAGGCGUAUGAACCGAGGGGCCAUCAGAGUGAGGGUUGAGAUGACCUGGGGGGACAAUGAGAUGAUUGUGAUGGUCCUGAGGCAGAGCGGGCAGAGCGUGGGCCCUGGUCCCAUUUCUGCUGGGACAACGCACAAACCCAGAUGGGAGCAAGGCUCACAGCUUGGCAACAGCCUUGACUCCUGAGAUGUCCGGGUUGGUGCAGGGUCCUGACAGGACAUGUGGAAGUAGCGUCUUGGACAACCACUGUGGGCAGGCAUUUGGCUCAGGGGUUAAGAAGCCACUGAGAUGCCUGCAUCCCAUAUCGGAGUUUUUGCAUUCGAGUCCUGACUCCACUUGAAGCUUCCUGCUGAUACACCACCCCCCUCUCCCUGCAAAGCAGCAGGUGAUGCCUGAAGUACUUGGGUCCCUGCCACCCACAGGGGAGACCUAGAAUGAGUUCUGGGCUCCUGGUUUCAGCCUAUCCCUGCCCUGGCUGUUGCAGGUCUCUGGGCAGUGAACCAGCAGAUAGGAAGAUCUCUCUCUGCCUUUCAAAUAAAUAAAUAAAAAUUAGCUCAUAUGUCCCUUCAUUCUAUAUGUGGGAUACCUAUAAAGACAAAUUGAGCAAUAAAUACACCACUUAUGACAUCUUUGAAAUAAAUAAUGUCAUUGAAAUAUUUGCAGAAUUGAAAACUUGAGGCAUAAUGAGUGAGUGAGUGAGUGAAUAAGUAAAUAAGUGAUCAAGUCCCAGCAGCAUGGGAGCAGCCUGCAUGUACUUCAGCAGGUGUAGGUACAAUGAGCUUAAAUACACAGUUGUAGAAGGUGGUUUUUCAAAGUACAUUAGAACUAACAUUUAAAUACUCUACUAUAAACAUGGUCUAUUAAAUCUGGGCCAUAUGCUCUGUCAUCCUGAUGUCUAUUUCAGUCGUGGCACUGCGCACAGAGAAUGUGCAGGACGACCAGAUUUUGGAAUAGCAUCAUCUCGAGGGGAGCUGCUGUGUGUUUCCUUAUUUAACAUACAAAAGCAUCUGACACCUGAUACCCGCACACUAAUGCAGUCCUUGUGGAAGUGGCUACUAGUUAUAGAUGCUUAGAAACAUUGGGAAGAUUCACAUUUCAUUACAAAAGAACUGAUAGGAUAUUUUACUAAACAGAACAGCUAUAUGUAUAAGUAUUUGUCAUAGGAAAAGUCCUACUCAGUGUUGGGUCUCCUUUCCUCACCUUUAAUUUUCGCUAAAUAUAUUCUGACUAUUUAUUUUUGUCAAUGUGAAUAUUAAAGAAAGCUAAGUAGAAGCAAUCUUCAUGUUUUGUUGAUUACAUUCCAGGAAAAAAAAAAAAAGGAAGAAAUGGCAGAGCAUUAAGCCUGAAUAGCAUUUGCUAUAAUUACCCUGUGUGAAAUAUAACUGGUAGCUGUCAAGCUUUGAUUGAAACUUACUGAAGGUUGACACCAGCUGCAUGCAUUAAUUGUUUCAGCAAGCAAGUGCACAUACUGCAGUUACCAUUUGGAAGCACACUCAUUUCUGUUUAAUUUGUUGUAAAGUAUUUUAUGAUCGAGUUUGGAUGAGGGCUGCCAAAAGUUCACAUUUAUCUUUUGCUUUAUUUCCAGCAAACAAGAGUUCCCUUAGCUAAAUCCUAAGUACAUCUAUGAAAGUGAUAUUUCCAAAUUGUGCAAUAUUGAGCACUUGGAGGAGGGAGCUCCUAAGUACCACUUUAAAGGAGUGUUUUGAACCAUGCUUCUUUUAGAUGCUUUUUUUGGACUCUUGAUAUUUAUUCCUAAAUAUGUGAAUUUCAGUUUAUGAAUAUCUUUUAAUAAAGCAACUUGAUCAUAUUAGAUUAUUUAUUUUUUUAUCCUUUUUAACUGGAAGGUUGCAAUCUCCAAUGUAGUUUUUCUGUAAUCAUAUUCAGUCUUCACAAAGUGCAGGUGUUUUGGAAAGCAUUGAGACACACACAUUAUCCUCUAUCCUAUCAGUGACGCACACCAGCAGGGGAGUAUUUGUGCGCCAUUCACAAGUGUAUUUCUGUGGGUGCACAGCCGCAGCGUUUGAUCUGACAGAUACUGUGUGCAGCAGCAGGCAGGCUCAAGUUCUAGUUCCUUAUUCACAUCUUUUUAAAAAGAAUUUGCAGUCUUUUUGUUUUAGUAAUAGAUGCUAUUUUUAAAAAAAAUGUUUAUUUUUAUCUACCUGAAAGACAAAACAGCAGAGUAGGGGAGAGAGAGGGAGAAAGAGAAUGCCAGCCAUGUUAUCUGAGUGUCCCAUGUGGGUGGCAGGGGCCUAAGCACUUGAGCCACCAUCUAUCUGCUGCCUCCAGAUGCAUCACCAGGAGGCUGGGUUGGAAGUGGAGUAGCCAGGACCCAAACCAGGUGCUCAGAUGUGGGAUGUCCCAAGCCACAGCUUAAUUCACAGUGUCCUAAUACCCACCCCUCUUAUUCAUACUGAUCAUGAUUGGAGUUAAAUGGAGAUUCUAGUUGGAGGUGAAACAAUAGUUGUUUAUUCCUUUAUUGUCCCACAAAUGGAAUCUGUUUUAAGUCCAAUGGGAACCCAAACAGUGUGCUUAUGUUUUAAAGUCAUCUACAUGUGAAUCCUGGGAAAUAGUUCAGUGUCACUGGAUGGUAGAGAGUAUGCGUAGACAUUUGUUGUUUUUGGCCACUCUGCAUCUGUCUCCUUUGCUGCGAACAUCCUGGUGUCCAUGGGGCAAGCACAGGGCCUGUUCUCACCUGGUGGGGGUCUGUGCUUCCUCUCCUUUGGUAGAGCCUCGAGCCCCUGCACUCUGGGCUCUUCCGCAGGGCCUUCCAGCAAGAGGUGGUGCAGGGUGCUUGGACAGGGCUCUGGGCUGCUCUGGCUUCCCCUCCACACAGCGCCUGCCUUCCUCUCUGCCUGUCAUCUUUGAGAGCCUCUAUUGGCUUCUCCGAAUCUUCCCCAAAUCCCAGACUUUUGCCUUAUGCUAACCAGCAUCAAUAUUCGGUGCUUACAACCUUCAUAAGAACUUCAAUGGACUUAAGAAGUGAAUCUUUUUAAAAUUUAAAGUGAAAUGUUAAUUUUACUGCUGGUUCGUGUCAGUUUGAAGCCAGCUUAAACUCCAUUACUGGUAGACAGUUCUUCCACAAGACCCGUGAACCCAGCCAGGUGAUCCAUUUGUUUCUCUUUGCAGUUAGGUUUCAAAGAUUGUUUUGUACCGAUCUGGAAAGCAGGCCAUAAAGGGGUUUGACAAAGAUUUUCUGUGUUGCUAAAUUGUUUUAGGAAUGUUUCCCAGUGCCCCAAUAUUUAAAGCGAUGGUUAAUCCCCAGCCAUCGGUUGAUGCUUUGUGUCUUAAAGGGGUAGACAAGCUAGAACAGUUCUUCACAGAACUUUUAUGUAAUAUAGUUAGUUUAUGUAUUUUCACUUUUCAUUUGAGAAAGAGGUAGAGUGAAGUCUUCCAUCUAGUAGUCCACUCUCCAAAUGCCUGCAACACCCAGGCUUAGGCCACGCCCAAACCAGGAGCCUGAAACUCCACCUGGGUCUCCCGUGUGAAUGUCAGGGACCCAGGUACUUGAGCCAUCACCUGCUGUUUCACAGGCUGUGCUAAUGCUUGCAGCUGGAUUAGAAGGGGAAUAGCCAGGACUCAAACCAGCCAUUCCCAUACGGGGUUUCCACAUCUCAAGCAGUGACUUAACUGCUGUGCCAAAUGCCCACGCCUAAUGUAGUUUUAUUAGCAUAAACAAAAUGUAAACUGACAGUUUGGGGUAGAAGUAAAAGAUGCCUGAAUCUUUAGUAUUAUAUUAUGGAAUUCACUCAUGCAGAAUAAAAUAUACUUUUAGCAUUGAAUGUAUUUGUUUUUUAUUGAAAUUAAAAUACUGUUGGGAGAAUUAUGUAUUAAAAAGAAAUUAAGAAUGAUUUGGAAUGAAAUGGAUAAUUGGAGUUCUUACAUUUAGAUCUGUCACUGCAUAGUUUUUAUAUUAGCUCACUAUUUUGUUUCUAUCACAACUUUUCAUUCUAAGCCUUCUAGAGUUAGACAUUUCUGUACUUAAUUCAUCUUUUAUGAGGGAGCUCAUGAAGAAUGAUUUCUCAAGUAUAUAGAGAAUGUCAGGGGCUGGCACUGUGGCUCACCAAGUUAAGCCAUUGCCUGCAGCACCAGCAUCCUAUAUGGGCAGCAGUUCGAGUCCUGGCUGCUCCACUUCUGAUCUACCUCCCAGCUAAUAUGUCAGGGAAAGCAGUUGAAGAUGUCCCAAAUGCUUGGGCCCCUUUACCCAUAUGGGAGACCCAGGUGAAACGCCUGGCUCCUGGCUUUGGCCUGGCGCAACCCUGGCUGUUGUGGUCAUUUGGGGAGUGAAUCAGUGGUUGGAAGAUCUGUCUGUCUUUCCCUGAAUCUCUGUAACUCUGCCUUUCAAAUAGAUACAUAAAUCUUUUUUUAAAAAUGAAAAUGUUAACUAUCAGAAUCAUAUCACCUCAUUAGGAUAAACCUAGAUAGAAGAAUAGUCACAGCAGCAUGUCGCUUUUAUUCUUGUUUGUUUUGUAUCAUGUACGGUAUCCUGGAUGUAUUUAAAUAUAUCACAAUUGAGUAUGUGUGGCUGUACUUCAAAAGAACAUUGUGAAAUAGUUUGAAUUGAUAUAUUGACAUAAAAACUAGAAGUGUUUUGGGAUUUAGACAGCAUGUCUUGGGGUGGGUGUUGGGGUAUAGUGGUGGACCCUGCUUGGGAAAUCUACAACCCAUAUUGGAGUGCUUAAUUUCAAGCUCCCACUCUGUUUCCCAUCCAGCUUCCUGGUAAUGCACAUCUUGGAAGAUAGCAGGUGAUGACAAAAAUACUUGGGUCCCUGCCACAGACCCAAAUAAAGUUACUUUUUUUAAGAUUUAUUUAUUUACUUGAAAGGCAGAGUUACAGAGAGGCAGAGGCAGAGAGAGAGAGAGAGAGAGGUCUUCCAUCUGCCAGUUCACGCCCCAGAUGGCUACAAUGGCUGGAGCUGUGCUAAUAUGAAGCCAGGAGUCAGGAGCUUCUUCCAGGUUUCCCACGCAGGUACAAGGGCCCAAGGUCUUGGGCCAUCUUCUACUGCAGAGAUGGAUUGGAAGAGGAGCAGCCGGGACUCGAACUGGCGCCCAUAUGGGAUGUCAGCAGUGCAGGCAGUGGUUCUUCUACCCGCUAUGCCACAGCUCCAGGUCCCCCAAAUAAAGUUAUGAGCUCUUGGCUUUGGCUUGGCUCACCCUGGGCUUUUGUGGGCAUUCAGGGAAUUAAACAGUAGUUGAAAGAUCUGUCUGUAUUUCUGUUCUGUUUCUGUGUCUGUCACUCUGUCUUUCAGAUAAAUGAAACGUUAAGCGUGUCUCUGAAAUGUCGUGUUCUUUUAGUGUGAGUUGGUUCUUUGCACAUGCACAGGUUUGCAGACACUGUGUGCCCUCCUGAUGUAGGAAUGAGUUACCUGGAAUGAGUUCAUAAUCCACAGUGUGUUCUCCUUCUGGAAGUGGUACAGGAAUCUCACAUGUAAUGCCAAAGUCUAAUUUAACCCAAAGUUUAGGUGAACACUUGUGAUUUCAAGCUCAAAAGAAAACAGUGUCUCCGUGUGAAUGAACUUUAAAUGGUGAAAUAGCAGCUUGGAUUUGGAGCGAGUUAGGGUUGCUGGUCUCUGAGAAGAGGCUGACUCCACAGGUUCUUAGUUGGCUUUCUCCAGGGCAUCCUCCUGCUAUCCAGAGUUGAUGUGGCAGAUCCCAGUGGCCAUCGCUGAAGUCGGGAAUCAGUGGGCGAGAUCGUGGACCGGGAAGUGGAACUUAUGUGCAGCGUGAUGUCUACAGGUGGAAGGCCAGAACCAACCAGUCCAUGCUCUUGCCAUUCUCCCGAGAGCUAAGGAAAAGGUGGCCAUCUCCUUAAGGAAGGGAAAGUGUUCACAGGAUAGGGAAAAGCAGAUGGAACAGGGAGAUGAACUGCCUCCAUUGCCUUCUGCCCUCCUUGCCUGCCCAGGGCACCCAGGGCAUGGGAGAAGCAAUAGCCAAAUGUCCCUGAAUGUCAGCCCUUGGCUCCUUGAAGCUACUGACAGCCAGGAUGGGGAUUGACAGAAUUACAGUUUGGGGGAUAGUCUCAUGGAUGCUUUCCACUUGGGAGGGCUGGCUCCGGGGACAAGCAGAUAAGGUCCAAAGGAUUCAGGAAAUGCGGGCAGCUGAAACCCGACUUGAACACCUUAAGUUAAUCUACCUGGCUGUUCCAGCUGUUGAACAAGAACGAGACACUUGGAGAAGGAAGCAGAGCAGUGGUGGAUGUGAAAGACCAGCCUCAUCGUCAAGGUGUGGAGUUAAGGAGUCAGCCGUUUGUUAAUUGAGUGACAAGUUACUGAUGAUGAAAGGUUACCUAGGUCUCUGAACAUGUCUUUCUCUAUAAAAUGAAUGAGGCAAUAGUUAUAUUACAAAAAGGUUUAUUUUAUUUGUCAUCUUUAAAAAAUUCUUUAUAAGCUAUAAAACACCAUGGAUGUGGCAGUUAUCCCAGCUGCUGCUAGGUUGCCUUUGUCUGGUGUGGGCAUAGCGAGUUCUCAGCUUUAGUGAUGUACCAGUGGGUUAAGCUAGCUCUUCCUUUUCUGUUGUCUGGACUGAAAUCAAAAAACCCAGUGACCUCAAGAUCUGGUUUUGUCCCUAACUGUAGCUUUGCUUUUCAAACUCCCAAGCAAAGCACACCUAAAGUGAAACAUAGCUGUGGAGCGCACAAGCAGUCUGCCCCAUCUGUUUACAGACCCUGAGGUCUCAUUUUACAACUUUAUAUAAAGCUUGCUCUCUAGCCUAUGCUGUGUACCAUUGUACCUUGGAGACCAUACAUACUUAUGAUUAAGAUGCUAACAGGGAGGAGGAGCUACUGCCUGCUGUGUUACUUGUAGGUAGAAAGGGUUGCCUGAGCCUGUGGCUUCACAUGCCCACGGUUGUAGGGGCACAGACCCAACUUUUGGGCCCUUCUUGUUUAAGAAGAUGGGACUCUGUGAGGCCUGGUGUCCGGAUAGCUGUCUGUGACACCUUGUUGUAACAGUUAUUAUAAGGGGUUUGAUCUGAUUACAAAUCAAGUGAUCUGACACGUUCAUUUUUACAAGUGGGUUUCUAGAUACUGUGUAUUCUUACCUGUGUAAGCCAGUUGCAGAGGGCUUUAUUCAAAGUCUAUUGUUGUAGAAGCUACAAAUUAACAAAUCUUACUUGCUUAAAAUAUUCUUGAAGACUAGCCAUCAAUACGUGACAUUUUAUUAUAAUCUUUCUACUUUUGUGUGUGAUUGUAACUUUCGGUUCUUAAAAGGAAAAACUUUUUUUUCACACCUUGAAAGGCAGAGAGAGGGAGGGAGAGAGAGGGAGAGAGAAAGAGAGAUGUCUCCCGUCUUCUGGGUCACUCCCCACAUGGCUGGAACAGCAGUGCUGGGCCAUGCUGAAGCCAGGAGCCAGGUCUCCCCUCUGGGUGACUGGAGUGCCAGCACUGGAACCAUCACCCGCUGCCUCCCAGGUGCAUUAGGAGACUUGACAGCCUGAGAGCAGUCAUUCCCAGAGAUGGCAGCGAUACAUGGGCUUCUGUUUAAUGGACCCAUGAAGAGCCAGCACAGCUAAUGAAAAGGAGGUGCUGCUUAUUACUGUGUGCUUGUGAAACUACAGCGUUCCAAGGAUGAAGAGAAGAUCCUAAAAGUUUUCAUAGAGGAAGAGAAACAAGUUACCUGUAUAUGAAGACCUAUUAAACUGGUGUUACAAAUUUUAUCAGCAACACUGGGGGCUAGCAGUGUUGCCUACAAAACCCAAAGGUAAACAUACUUUUGAAUCUAGCAUUCUAUGCCUGGCACACUAUUGGUCAGAUGUAACAGCAGAAUAAAGACAUUUACAUUAUGCAAGGCCUAGAAAAGUUACACCACCCCCACCCACACUCCUCUGUGUGCAUUGCCUUUACUAGGAAAAUAGUGGAGUGUGUACUUGGGUAAACCUAAGGAGUAAGUUGGCCUUCAGGAAAUGCAAGAACCACUUAAUUGGGCAAUCAGAGCAAAUCUUCCUAGGAAUCGUGGCUUUAACUUAGAUCUGGAGAUUAUCCGUUCCACACUGGAUGGGGGGUACAAAAGGCUUCUGGGAUAAAGCUGGCAUCGACAACGUGGGGAUAACUCUCUCUUCUGUGACCCCAUGUUCACAGAGGGCAAGCAGUCAGAAGCUCCUGAAAUCCCUCACCCGCCUCAUGGCCUCAGUUGGGUAGAGGAAGGCCAUGCUUUUAAUCAGUCAAGCAAGAAAAAGAGGUCCAUUUCAUCUUAAAACUAGAAUUUUAAAAUUUCUUGGAGUGGUCAGGAAAUCACGGCACCCUGGGUUCUAGUCCCGGUUGGGGCGCCAGAUUCUGUCCUGGUUGUUCCUCUUCCAGUCCAGCUCUCUGCUAUGGCCCGGGAGUGCAGUGGAGGAUGGCCCAAGUGCUUGAGCCCUGCACCCCAUGGGAGACCAGGAGAAGUACCUGGCUCCUGCCAUCGGACCAGUGCGGUGCGCCGGCCUCAGCGGCCAUUGGGGGGUCAACCAAUGGUAAAGGAAGACCUCUCUCUCUGUCUCUCUCUCUCACUAUCCACUCUGCCUGUCCAAAAAAAAUAAAUAAAUAAAAGAGAAUGAAAUGGGAUUUUAGCACAUAUCUUAGCCUGGCAUUAAAUGAUAUUUAUGUAUCAUAGUAUGGAUGCCAUAUUGUUGAUUUUCAAUACUCUGAAGUAGUCUGUGAUAAAGAAGCCGUGAUUGCUGCUUACUUCAAGUUAUGAAUGGCUGUGCUCUUGAUGUUGUUAAAGGAAAACUGUAAGCUUACCAACUGGGUCGUGGAAGGUCAGAGGCAUUAUGCAUUGUGGUCCCAGUGUCAGCAAGGAACUAAUAGACAUUUGUAUGUCUGGGGCUUAGGACCUAGGACAAGCACAUCUCAGAUUCUGACAGGUCAGAGGACAACUCAGAGCCAUCUGUGGAUUUAUGUCUCCUUUAAUCAGAAUGGCGGUGAAAAAUGCACCACUUACAGCCACUUGUCUCCAAUCCCUGCCUUUGUGUCCAUGGCAGCAGUUGGACUGACACACAGGCAUCUACACACAUCCACAUGCAGGCAACUGUAUACGUGUCCACAUCCAUGCACAGGCAACUGCACUUGGCCAUGCCCCCCAGUUGCUUCUAUGGGUUUACAGACAAAAGUGGCCCAGAGCCAAACCAUUGCAUAACAGAUGCAUGAGCAGCUUAGCCAAGCAGGAGGACCUGCCCUUACUGUAGACACACAGAGAUAUGGGAGCACAGAGAUAAGGCGACAUGGGCCAAAGGUGGGGGAACUUGAUAAACACCCCCUUCCCAACUUCAUCUCUUCAACAGCAUGGACAAGUUCAUUUCUCAAGUAUUCUGUUUACUCACAAAUGGGGGGGAGGGCUGCGGCAAGGGUACAAAUACCAGAAGUACAGAUGAGCUAAAUUCUGAUUUUUACUUUGGAAGAAUCAGUAGGCAUUAUGUAAAGUCAUUAAAUCCUAAGUCCUAUUGAUAAAGCUUAUUGCUCAGGGAAUAUAGAGAAAACUAAAACAACUGAAAAAAGUAGAAAUUUUAUCUUUGUGAGUUGGACAUGGUGUGGAGAGGAAGGGUGAAAACACAUAAAUUCUUGUGUAUUAUUAGAUUUCUGUGUACAUAUAUUUUGAGAGACAUAACAAAAUAUUUUCUAAUUUAGUGUUUCACUAAUCCAGGCCUAUAAUGAAAUUUGCUGAGGAGAAUUUGUCUGAAUACUUGAUUAUGGUUUUAGGAAAUAAAAUAUGUGAAAACUUUUGCUCUGCUCUUAGUUUUUAACCUGGCUCAUUUUAGAUAGCAACAGAAAAGUUGAGUGAAUCAUUGUUUUUACCAUCAUUUAACCUAACACUUUGUUUUUCCUCAAAGUAUUUGCACUCUUAUACUGUUACUUACAUGGAGCAUGAGUGCACCUAGUUUACUUUUAUGUCAACAGAUUUGAAAUGUAUUCCUGGGUCUAACAGGCUAAGGACAUGGAUGACACAGAUGAUGCUUUGUGUGGUAAACCCUGGUAUAGACGUGAGGAUGGAACUUACAAAUUCUCUCUAAACCAGUAGAUAGACAUCAGUAGACAUCUGCUCAUUUGGAAUUAACUCAGAAGUGAACUAUGUAUGAUCUUGGCGCUAUUCUCUUUCCACUCUGAAGUUAAAACUCGUGGUAGAUUGAGCUAGGAAGGACACGUGGAGUACCUCAAAAUGCCGAUCACUGCCAUAACUUCAGCAAGACAAAAGUGCCCCCUCGCUCAUGCCAGGUACCCAUUUUCAUGGCUCUUACUUACCACUUUUGUUCCUUUCCAGUGGGGUGGGUAGUUCCUGUUUCUCUUUCCCCCAAGCGGAUUUCCACUCUGUGAUUAUAUCCAAAAAUCCUGUGCUCCUUCAUGUGCAGAAACAAGUUAUUUUUUUGAAAAAAUUAUUUAUUUAUUUGAAAGGCAGAAAUACAGAAGCAAGGAGAGAGAGAGAGGGAGAGAGAGAGAGAGAUCUUCCAUCUGCUGGUUCACUUACCAAAUGGCUGCAAUGGCCAGGGCUGGGCCAGGCCAAAGCCAGGAGCCAGUAGCUUCAUCCAGGUCUCCCACGUGGGUGCAGGAGCCCAAGGACCUGGGCCAUCUUCUACUGCUUUCCCAGGCCACAGCAGAGAGCUGAAUCGGAUGUGGAGCACCCAGGAUCCGAACUGGCACCCAUAUGGGAUGCCAGCACUGCAGGCCAGGGCUUUAACCCACUGUGCCACAGCGCUGGCCUGAAACAGGUUCUUGAUUACAGAAGGGGCAUCUGGCUCUACUGGCCAUAGUUUACUGACCCCUGUGAUGCAGCAGGUAGGAACAUGGAGUCUGGAACUAGUUGGCUCUCGUGGUAACUGUCUUGUAUCCUUCAGUAUGAAGAUCCUGGAAAUGCCAGUGCCAUUGAGCUUUGUGAGGGAGGGUAUGGAAAGUGCUUGAGGACAGUGCCUGGCUCAUAGCAGCCGCUCUGGAUUUCAGCCGCUCUGGAUUUCAGCCGUUACGGAAAUAGGGUGCGUGCGGCUGUCAGGUUUACUCUCCUGCGCAGACUGAACUGGUGAGAGUCUCCAGUGGCAGUGCUGCUGGCCGACUGGCUGUGUUUGCAGGGAGAGGGCAGACCCUGGCGGCUCAGGGAGGUCUUGGCUGCCUCUGCUAAGUGACCCUGUAGCCUCUUCAUCUUUAGUGAUAUAAUGCUACAUUAGCACUCCUCUUAGAAAAUGGAGAUGCAACUCAGAAUCAUCCCAGGUGACACUGGAUUUUACAGAAAUAUAGCUAUUGUAAAUUUAAUGUUGACAGGUAAUGAAUAGGGAGCUUCAAGAAAGUCACAGGAAUUUUGUAUUAUCUUGUUCUGUUUUUUUUUUCUUUUUCCAAACUUUCUGAAGCUCCCUCCUAUAAAGCACCCUUUAAAGAUGUUAGCUGACUCUAAUGUGUCUUGAAGGCAUUUUGCAAAAAUGAUAUUUAUAGAUCUAAGCAGCUUGUUAAAUAAUAAGAAGUAAGUAGGAUGUAAACUUGAACCGCUUUUAUGCUUCUUCAGGUGUUACCUUCAGUUGAACCUUUUAUAAUCUUUUUUCCCGAUCUUUCAUGUGUUAAUAAGAUCCAAUAGCCAUCUAAUCACUUCUGGCUGUUAAAGAGAGAAAAAGAGCCCUUCGGUGUAGCCCAGUUUGAAACUCCUGUCUCAUGUGCAGUCUAGAAGUAUGCCUUCCUACUGUUUCUUGCCAUGUUGCAGUAACAGAUUUGCCUUUUGGCUUUCAGAUAACUGGAAAACAGGACAAACAUAUUAAUCAACUUUUUUCAGUCAUUGGAUUAUAGGUAGGAGGGUCUCCAAAAAGUUCAUGGAAAUUAUAUAUUGUGAAAAAGCUGUGUGCGCUUUUCAAAUUUUUUCAUACCAAAAUAUAAACUUAUCUUUGAAAGUCAUUGUCCAUAAAAUUUUUGAAAUAUCUUCAUAGUGUAAGAAUGUGAUUCUGACAAAGAGUUAAACAAGAGAAGUCCUAAAAAAUAUCCCUGCAGCUUUCUGUCUACAGGCAUUUUCUAGACGACAGUGCAAGAGAGAGGGAUCCAGGCAGCGGGUGGCAGGCUCUCUGGAGCGGCUGGAGUGGGUUAUGAGGGGUGUGAUACAGGAAAGGAAGAGGAACACUGAGACUCGAACAGUGCUGGCUGACCUGAUUUGGGCCAGGGGUGCGGCAUAGUACCAAUACUAUGAUUGAAAGAUAGGUCAUCAGUAAAAAUCCUGCAGACAUUUAAAAGAUAAUAUGGCAAUAGUAUGAACAACUUUAUGCCAGUAAAUUCUCCAACUUUUAAGACAUAGACCUACCAAGACUGACAUUAGAAAAAGGAGAGAAUCUGAAUACUUGUGUACUUUUUAAAGAAGUUGGAUCUGUAAGUCCGGAUUUUCCCACAAAGAACACUCUGGGACCAGAUGACUCACUGGUGAAUUCUGUCAGCGUUUGAAAGAAGAAAUACUGUCAUUCCUACUUAAGUUCUUCAGAAAUCAGAAGAGGAGAGAAUACUUCCCUACUCAAGAGACCAGUAUUAUCUUCCAACAGAAGCAAACAGAGAGGUGGUGAGGAGAGAAAUCUGUAGACAAAUAUCCCACAGGAAAGUAGAUAUGAAAAUUCUUACCAAAAUUUUAUCACAUCAAAUUCAGUAAGACAAAAAAAGAUCUCAGUUGUAACUCAGUCAAUAUAAUUGACCUUAUUAACAGAAAAAAGUGCUGCCAUCUCAAUAUUUGGAGAAAAAGCAUUUGACAUAAUUUGGUGUAUUUCAUGACUUAAAAAACAAAAAAAAACUUAAUAAAAUUAGAAACAGAAGGAUGCUUCCUCAGCCCGUCAAAGGGCCUUUACAUAAUACCUAUAACUUACAUCUUUAACGAUGGGAACAAGAUAUGAGUGUCCAUUCUUAGCACUUCCAUUCAGUAUCGUACAGUAGGUUCCAGCCAGUUCAGGGAGGCAAUAUAUAAGAAUGAUAUACAACUAUAGUUUUAAUGAUGUGUGAUUAUUUUAAAAUAUAGAUGAGUGAAAUUGACGUCUUUUCAUUUGGUUAUUUAUAGUCCAUGCCAAUAUUCCUGCUGAACUGCGGUCUUUUUACUUGUUGAACUCUUUAUUUAGUGGAGCAUUAAGCCUUUGACUAUAAUAUAAAUUUAAAAUAUGUUAUCUCAAAAAUUAAAAAGAGUGAGAGAGGGUAGGAGGGAAGUAUCAUUAUAUUCUUAGAAUUGUAUCUGUGACCUACAUUGAAUCUGUUCUCUUUAUUAAUAUCACAUUAACAUGAGAAUUGUUAAGAAUUGUGUUGCAGUAAUUAGCAUGAAUUUGCUGUGACCCUGAGAAUGAAUAAAUUCCUUAAAAACCAAAGGGAAUAAAAAAAGAAAGACAAUAAAGAAUUAAAAUUCUGUAUUCAGUGGUUGACAGUGUGGUGCUUGUGAUCCUGGUAUCCUGUGUUGGAGUCCUGGCCACUCUGCAUCUGAUCAGCUUCCUGCUGCUGCUCCUGGUAAGGCAGCAGGUGAUGGCCUGAGUUCUUGGACCCCUGCUCCUCUGUGGGAGACCCAAAUGGAUUUUCUAGUUCCUGGCUUUGGCCUGGCCCAGACCUGCCUGUUGUAACCAUUCAGGGAGUGAAGCAGCAGAUGAAAAAAUCUCUCUCUCUCUCUUUCUCUCUCUCUCUCUCUCUC
Oryctolagus cuniculus (rabbit) is the source of this 21398-nucleotide non-coding RNA. The record is from RefSeq and is a predicted model, not a curated record. NCBI's taxonomy places the organism in Eukaryota, Metazoa, Chordata, Mammalia, Lagomorpha, Leporidae.